Long non-coding RNA from Serinus canaria (Common canary), 899 nucleotides. RefSeq lists it as uncharacterized. The record is from RefSeq and is a predicted model, not a curated record. The transcript has 2 exons. NCBI's taxonomy places the organism in Eukaryota, Metazoa, Chordata, Aves, Passeriformes, Fringillidae.
AGAACACAGGGUAUAAAAGCAGAACUCCCAGGAAGUAGCUCUCUGGCUUUUCGGUGAGCAAAGGGAUCAGAGAUGAGAAAGAGAAAGGAGGGAAAGAGAUAAGACGCGGCUUGCAGCUCCUGGGAAGUCGGCCAAAAGUGAGAAGGGAGUCCGGCACCUAUAAAGAUGAUUUUAACCCUUUUUUUUCCUCAUGAUGGAAACCUUGCAAACGUUGAUCCUCCCGGAGGACAGAGAUAAGGCUGGAAAAAGAAGAAAUGGACAAGUAAAAUGAGAGGUUUGUGUGAGUAGGGUAUAGCGGAGAUAAUGAGAAGAAUUUACUUGGGAGGAGAUAAAUGGAGGAGCAGUUUUUUCGGCUGAACUUUUUCUUGUAUGCUGUGGACGGACUGGCUUUCUAUUGUAACACAGAGACUGCGGUUUUGGGGGGAAAGCAAUGGCUCGGAUCCAAGAAAGGCAGUGAAGAGUGGUGAUGGACAGAGAUCAGAAAUGAGGAAGAUGAUCUCUGUCGUGAAGCCCUAGCCCCGGGGAAAUGGGGGGGAUUUUACUAUCCCAAAAUGGAGAGACUGUCGUUUUCUUGGAACUGACCAAAGUAUCCUUAAAAAGAGAAACCCCAGAAGCAAUCUUCUGGUCCAUUUCCAUGGUGAGAGCAUGGAAUAAGGAAAGGGGUUAGUCAAGAAAUGGUACAAGGAGAAGACUCCUUUCUCUUUAAUAGAAUGAAUUGAUUGUUUGAAGAAGGAUAAUGGACUGAGAAUUAAAACCUGGGAGAUGGGGACUGAAGGAAGAUCUGAGUUUGUAUUGUAUGCUGUAAUGUGGGUUGAGAGGGGGAGGAGAAAUGUGUUUGAAAGAUUUCCAUUCUGUUUUUUGUGUGUGUGUGUAUGUUAAUAAAGUUUUUUUUUUCCUUU